AAGAUGGGCUCGCGUCUGAUUAGAUAGUUGGUGGGGUAACGGCCUACCAAGUCGACGAUCAGUAGCCGGACUGAGAGGUUGAACGGCCACAUUGGGACUGAGACACGGCCCAGACUCCUACGGGAGGCAGCAGUGGGGGAUAUUGCACAAUGGGGGAAACCCUGAUGCAGCAACGCCGCGUGAGGGAAGAAGGUUUUCGGAUUGUAAACCUCUGUCCCCGGGGAAGAUAAUGACGGUACCCGGGGAGGAAGCUCCGGCUAACUAC
Molecule: ribosomal RNA, 265 nt
Filed under: uncultured bacterium
Lineage: Bacteria
Description: partial 16S ribosomal RNA
Rfam family: Bacterial small subunit ribosomal RNA
Source: RNAcentral